RNAcentral lists this ribosomal RNA (207 nucleotides) under uncultured bacterium. RNAcentral describes it as "partial 16S ribosomal RNA". It matches the Rfam family "Bacterial small subunit ribosomal RNA", at positions 568 to 774 of the family's 1533-position model. The record is from RNAcentral.
UACGUAGGCGGUUUACUAAGUCAGAUGUGAAAGCCCCGGGCUUAACCUGGGAACUGCAUUUGAUACUGGUAGGCUAGAGUAUGGUAGAGGGGGGUAGAAUUCAUAGUGUAGCGGUGAAAUGCGUAGAUAUUAUGAGGAAUACCAGUGGCGAAGGCGGCCCCCUGGACCAAUACUGACGCUGAGGUACGAAAGCGUGGGUAGCGAACA